Molecule: ribosomal RNA, 1288 nt
Filed under: metagenome
Description: SSU rRNA
Rfam family: Eukaryotic small subunit ribosomal RNA
Source: RNAcentral
UCUGGUUGAUCCUGCAGUAGUGAUAUGCUUGUUUCAAAGAUUAAGCCAUGCAUGUCUAAGUAUAAGCGAACUUAUACAGUGAAACUGCGGAUGGCUCAUUAAAACAGUUUGAAUUUAUUUGAUGAAUGUAUGAGAAUACUACUUGGAUAACCGUAGUAAUUCUAGAGCUAAUACAUGCAACGACGCCCGACCGUUUCACUACGGAAGGGCUGUAUUUAUUGGAUACCAAAACCAUCCUUCCCUCGGGAAGUUUUGUUUGAUGAUUCACAAUAACUGAUCGGAUCGCCACUGUGGUGGCGACAGGUCAUUCAACAUUCUGCCCUAUCAGCUUUCGAUGGUUGUGUAGUGGACAACCAUGGCCAUAACGGGUAACGGAGAAUCAGGGUUCGAUUCCGGAGAAGGAGCUUGAGAAUUGGCUACUACAUCUAAGGUAGGCAGCAGGCGCGCAAAUUACCCAAUCCCGAUUCGGGGAGGUAGUGACAAAAAAUAACAAUACCGGGCCUUUUUGGGCUUGGUAAUUGGAAUGAGGGAGAGUUAAACGGACCAUCGAGUAUCCAUUGGAGGGCAAGUCUGGUGCCAGCAGCUGCGGUAAUACCAGCUCCAAUAGCGUAUAUUAAAGUUGUUGCAGUUAAAAAGCUCGUAGUUGGACUUGUGUGCGCUGUCCGCGGGUGGCCUGCGCCCAAAAGGGCGUUUCGGUUCGGCCCCGGUGGCGCCUUGAAAUCUGCAGCUGGGGGGACGUUGGCCUUAACUGGUCGGCGACCGCACGCCGGCUGCUCGGUUACUGUGAGAAAAUUAGAGUGUUCAAGGCAGGCAUUGGGUGCAAUUGAAUACAUUAGCAUGGAAUAAUAAAAUAUGGCUCCUGCCGUAUUUUGUUGGUUUUGACUGGUGGGAGUAAUGAUUGAUAGGGACGGUUGGGGGUGCUAGUAUUGAGCGGCCAGAGGUGAAAUUCAUGGAUUCGCUCAAGACUAACUUAUGCGAAAGCAUUCACCAAGGACGUCCUCUUUAAUCAAGAACGAAAGUUGGGGGAUCGAAGACGAUCAGAUACCGUCGUAGUCUCAACCAUAAACUAUGUCGACUUGGGAUCGGCGGUAGUUUUUUCAUUAAGACACUGUCGGGACCACGGGAGAAAUCAAAGUGUCUGGACUCUGGGGGAAGUAUAGUCGCAAGGCUGAAACUUGAAGGAAUUGACGGAAGGGCACCACCAGGAGUGGAGCCUGCGGCUUAAUUUGACUCAACACGGGGAAACUUACCAGGUCCAGAGAUGUAGAGGAUUGACAGAUUGAAGCUC